RNAcentral lists this ribosomal RNA (253 nucleotides) under uncultured bacterium. RNAcentral's name for it is "partial 16S ribosomal RNA". It matches the Rfam family "Bacterial small subunit ribosomal RNA", at positions 524 to 776 of the family's 1533-position model. The record is from RNAcentral.
GACGUAGGGUGCAAGCGUUGUCCGGAUUUAUUGGGCGUAAAGAGCUCGUAGGCGGCUUGUUGCGUCGACUGUGAAAACCCGCGGCUUAACCGCGGGCUUGCAGUUGAUACGGGCAGGCUAGAGUUCGGUAGGGGAGACUGGAAUUCCUGGUGUAGCGGUGAAAUGCGCAGAUAUCAGGAGGAACACCGGUGGCGAAGGCAGGUCUCUGGGCCGAUACUGACGCUGAGGAGCGAAAGCGUGGGGAGCGAACAGG